UACGUACUGCGCGAACGUUAUUCGGAAUCACUGGGCUUACAGGGUGCGUAGGCGGCUUUUCAGGUCUGAUGUGAAAUCCCCCGGCUCAACCGGGGAAUGGCAUUGGAAACCGAAAGGCUCGAGGUAGCUAGAGGCAUGCGGAACUUCCGGUGGAGCGGUGAAAUGUGUUGAGAUCGGAAGGAACACCAGAGGCGAAAGCGGCAUGCUGGGGCUAUUCUGACGCUGAGGCACGAAAGCCAGGGGAGCGAACGGG
This 253-nucleotide ribosomal RNA is filed under the name uncultured bacterium. Its description in RNAcentral is "partial 16S ribosomal RNA". It matches the Rfam family "Bacterial small subunit ribosomal RNA", at positions 524 to 776 of the family's 1533-position model. The record is from RNAcentral.